GAUGAAGAACGUAGCGAAAUGCGAUAAGUAGUGUGAAUUGCAGAAUUCAGUGAAUCAUCGAGUCUUUGAACGCACAUUGCGCCCCCUGGUAUUCCGGGGGGCAUGCCUGUCCGAGCGUCAUUGCUGCCCUCAAGCCCGGCUUGUGUGUUGGGCCCUGCUCCCCCGGGGGCAGGCCCGAAAGGCAGUGGCGGCACCGCGUCCGAUCCUCGAGCGUAUGGGGCUUUGUCACCCGCUCUGUAGGCCCGGCCGGCGCUUGCCGACCCCCAUCAAUCUUUUUUCAGGUUGACCUCGGAUCAGGUAGGGAUACCCGCUGAACUUAAGCAUAUCAAUAAGCGGAGGA
This 340-nucleotide unclassified non-coding RNA is filed under the name soil metagenome. Its description in RNAcentral is "partial contains 5.8S ribosomal RNA, internal transcribed spacer 2, and large subunit ribosomal RNA". The stretch from base 1 to 120 matches the Rfam family "5.8S ribosomal RNA", at positions 35 to 154 of the family's 154-position model. The record is from RNAcentral.